AGUUUCCACACGGACUCUAACCGAGACUAAUGACAUGAAAAAUCAUCGUUGUAAUUCAACUACAGAAAC
RNAcentral lists this transfer RNA (69 nucleotides) under Castor fiber (Eurasian beaver). RNAcentral describes it as "transfer RNA-Glu". The record is from RNAcentral. Lineage: Eukaryota; Metazoa; Chordata; Mammalia; Rodentia; Castoridae.